This 168-nucleotide ribosomal RNA is filed under the name Triticum aestivum (bread wheat). RNAcentral describes it as "partial small subunit ribosomal RNA". The record is from RNAcentral. Lineage: Eukaryota; Viridiplantae; Streptophyta; Magnoliopsida; Poales; Poaceae.
AUGACAAUCCUCUAUUGGAACUGUCGGGGUUUGGGUCACCCCGAGACAGUUCAAGAACUUGUGCGCCUAGUGCGUACCCAUCGCCCCUCUGUCGUGUUCUUAUCAGAAAUGCGGCAAUGUGAAGAGAAUAAGAUGGAGGCUAGGCCUCAAACAAUGUAUUACCCAUGA